Molecule: ribosomal RNA, 320 nt
Filed under: uncultured eukaryote
Lineage: Eukaryota
Description: partial 18S ribosomal RNA
Rfam family: Eukaryotic small subunit ribosomal RNA
Source: RNAcentral
CCCCUAGAUGUUCUGGGCCGCACGCGCGCUACACUGAACAGUUCAACAAGUCUUAACCUUGGCCGAUAGGUCUGGGUAAUCUUUGAACGCUGUUCGUGAUUGGGAUAGACCUUUGCAAUUAUGGGUCUUCAACGAGGAAUUCCUAGUAAACGCAAGUCUUCAGCUUGCAUUGAUUACGUCCCUGCCCUUUGUACACACCGCCCGUCGCACCUACCGAUUGAAUGGUCCGGUGAAAUCUCGGGACGGCGGCUUGGUCGCUUGCGUCCGACUGCUGAAACUUGAUUAAACCAUAUCAUUUAGAGGAAGGUGAAGUCGUAACA